UACGUAGGGGGCAAGCGUUGUCCGGAAUCAUUGGGCGUAAAGAGCGUGUAGGCGGCCCGGUAAGUCCGCUGUGAAAGUCCAGGGCUCAACCCUGGGAUGCCGGUGGAUACUGUCGGGCUCGAGUCCGGAAGAGGAGUGUGGAAUUCCUGGUGUAGCGGUGAAAUGCGCAGAUAUCAGGAGGAACACCAAUGGCGAAGGCAGCACUCUGGGACGUGACUGACGCUGAGACGCGAAAGCGUGGGGAGUAAACAGG
RNAcentral lists this ribosomal RNA (253 nucleotides) under uncultured bacterium. Its description in RNAcentral is "partial 16S ribosomal RNA". It matches the Rfam family "Bacterial small subunit ribosomal RNA", at positions 524 to 776 of the family's 1533-position model. The record is from RNAcentral.